RNAcentral lists this ribosomal RNA (497 nucleotides) under uncultured bacterium. RNAcentral describes it as "partial 16S ribosomal RNA". It matches the Rfam family "Bacterial small subunit ribosomal RNA", at positions 28 to 507 of the family's 1533-position model. The record is from RNAcentral.
GAUGAACGCUGGCGGCGUGCCUAAUACAUGCAAGUCGAGCGAAAAGGUGAGGCGCUUGCUCCUCUCACGUUAGGGGAGGGCGGGUGAGUAACACGUGGAUAACGUACCUGUAAGACGGGGAUAACUUGGGGAAACGGGCGCUAAUCCCGGAGAAGCUAUUGAACCGCGGGGGUGGUUGGUAAGAUACGGCUGUGCGGUCACGUCUAGCUGGAUAUGCGCCGCAUUAGCUAGUUGGUGAGGUAACGGGCUAUGACGGGAACGAGGCGUAGACGAGGUGCGGGAGGGAUCGGCCACAUUGGAACUGAGACACGGUCCAGGCUCCUGAGGGACGCAGCAGUAGGGAAUGUUCCGCAACGGGCGAAAGUCUGACGGAGCAACCGCGCGUGAGUUAUGAAGGUCUUCGGAGCGUAAUACUCUGUUAUGAGGGAAGAACCAAUGUGUAAGUAACCAUGCACGGCGUGACGGUACUUAAUAAGAAAGCCACGGCUAACUACGUG